This is a long non-coding RNA of Bubalus bubalis (water buffalo), 828 nucleotides long. RefSeq lists it as uncharacterized. Lineage: Eukaryota; Metazoa; Chordata; Mammalia; Artiodactyla; Bovidae. The record is from RefSeq and is a predicted model, not a curated record. The transcript has 9 exons.
AGGAUUCUCCACAUUAUUCAUCUCUUUGGGCAAAAGCUAUCGGUGGCUUCUGAGUUAUUUUCUCAUUAGGCGUUUGAUGGGAAUUACUUGAUUGUGGAUGGCUUGUACUUGUAGUUCAUUUUGCAGGCACCCGAGGAACCAGCGAGCUGUUUCGGAAGUCCAGGUCCCCAGACUUCUGGGUCUGUUAAGCUAAUUUUCUUCCCUUUGAUCCCUGGCUCCAGGAGUGGAUGCAAGCUGCUUCCUGAAGUUACUAUCUCUAUAAAGAGGAAAAAAAAUAGAAGAUGAAGGGGGAAAAAACAAUGGCAACGAAUAGUUUCUUAGGGGACUCAGUGGUCAGAAACAGCAAAGCACGGAGAAUGAACUUUACACCUAAAGGGGCUAAACAAAUGUGAGAGGGCACUGGUGUCUAAGAAUACACCACAAGGACCAUUUGACUGUCCCCUCUGGCUUCUGCAUCUUGCUUCCAGCAUGAACAGACAGAUAACUGCAUUUUCUACAAAUUGAAGAUUGUGGCAACCCUGUGUCAAGCCUCCCUAUUUCCUGAGACACAACAAUAUUGAAAUUAGGCCUAUUAAUAACCCUACGACGGCCUUUAAGCAUUCAGACCAGUGUUCUGACUCUCCAGACAGUCGAGCCCCAACUGUACUCAUUGGAGGGACGGACCCACUCACUAGGAAUGGCCACAGGAUCAGAACUGACCAGUUAAAUUGAUGUUAAAUAGAAAUAUGCUUUCAAAAGAAUUAAUUCAAAUGUUUCUACCAUUAAGCUUGCUGGAGGAUUUGGGGAGAUUCAUUUUAGCAGAUUAAGGACGUUUCCUCCUAUUCCUAA